Molecule: ribosomal RNA, 1371 nt
Filed under: uncultured bacterium
Lineage: Bacteria
Description: 16S ribosomal RNA
Rfam family: Bacterial small subunit ribosomal RNA
Source: RNAcentral
GAUGAACGCUGGCGGCGUGCCUAAUACAUGCAAGUCGAGCGAACGGACGAGAAGCUUGCUUCUCUGAUGUUAGCGGCGGACGGGUGAGUAACACGUGGAUAACCUACCUAUAAGACUGGGAUAACUUCGGGAAACCGGAGCUAAUACCGGAUAAUAUUUUGAACCGCAUGGUUCAAAAGUGAAAGACGGUCUUGCUGUCACUUAUAGAUGGAUCCGCGCUGCAUUAGCUAGUUGGUAAGGUAGCGGCUUACCAAGGCAACGAUGCAUAGCCGACCUGAGAGGGUGAUCGGCCACACUGGAACUGAGACACGGUCCAGACUCCUACGGGAGGCAGCAGUAGGGAAUCUUCCGCAAUGGGCGAAAGCCUGACGGAGCAACGCCGCGUGAGUGAUGAAGGUCUUCGGAUCGUAAAACUCUGUUAUUAGGGAAGAACAUAUGUGUAAGUAACUGUGCGCAUCUUGACGGUACCUAAUCAGAAAGCCACGGCUAACUACGUGCCAGCAGCCGCGGUAAUACGUAGGUGGCAAGCGUUAUCCGGAAUUAUUGGGCGUAAAGCGCGCGUAGGCGGUUUUUUAGUCUGAUGUGAAAGCCCACGGCUCAACCGUGGAGGGUCAUUGGAAACUGGAAAACUUGAGUGCAGAAGAGGAAAGUGGAAUUCCAUGUGUAGCGGUGAAAUGCGCAGAGAUAUGGAGGAACACCAGUGGCGAAGGCGACUUUCUGGUCUGUAACUGACGCUGAUGUGCGAAAGCGUGGGGAUCAAACAGGAUUAGAUACCCUGGUAGUCCACGCCGUAAACGAUGAGUGCUAAGUGUUAGGGGGUUUCCGCCCCUUAGUGCUGCAGCUAACGCAUUAAGCACUCCGCCUGGGGAGUACGACCGCAAGGUUGAAACUCAAAGGAAUUGACGGGGACCCGCACAAGCGGUGGAGCAUGUGGUUUAAUUCGAAGCAACGCGAAGAACCUUACCAAAUCUUGACAUCCUUUGACAACUCUAGAGAUAGAGCCUUCCCCUUCGGGGGACAAAGUGACAGGUGGUGCAUGGUUGUCGUCCGCUCGUGUCGUGAGAUGUUGGGUUAAGUCCCGCAACGAGCGCAACCCUUAAGCUUAGUUGCCAUCAUUAAGUUGGGCACUCUAAGUUGACUGCCGGUGACAAACCGGAGGAAGGUGGGGAUGACGUCAAAUCAUCAUGCCCCUUAUGAUUUGGGCUACACACGUGCUACAAUGGACAAUACAAAGGGCAGCGAAACCGCGAGGUCAAGCAAAUCCCAUAAAGUUGUUCUCAGUUCGGAUUGUAGUCUGCAACUCGACUACAUGAAGCUGGAAUCGCUAGUAAUCGUAGAUCAGCAUGCUACGGUGAAUACGUUCCCGGGUCU